UUUUUUUUCCUCCUGCAACCCUUUAGAAAGAGAGACAGGACAAAAGAAGAAUGUGUGUUCUAUAUGCACAAUUCUUUGCAGGCCUCUGACGAAGUACCUCAAAAGCUAAGCUCCCAUCAAUCCUGGAGAGAUAGAAUCAGCGGAGCAUAGUGAUGGAAUGAAUGGUUGAAAAGAACAGCGGUGACCAAAGAACUUUUUAUGCAGAGAAAACCCCAAAUCUGGGGCAAAGCCCUCCUGUUCAUUUUAUCUCACAAAAGGCCGAAAGUGGCAGGUCCUUAUGUCCUCAUGGACUUCCCUGGUGGCUCAGACGAUAAAGCGUCUGUCUACAAUGCAGAAGACCUGGGUUCGAUCCCUGGGUUGGGAAGAUCCCCUGGAGAAGGAAAUGGCAAUCCACUCCAGUACUAUUGCCUGGAAAAUCCCAUGGACAGAGGAGCCUGGUAGGCUGCAGUCCAUGGGGUCGCAAAGAGUCCGACACGACUGAGCGACUUCACUUUCACUUUAUGUCAUCAUACACUUUCCUUGUUGUGUGAUUUAAGGCAUAAACACUAUGACAAUAUUUAAGGUUUUGUUUCUUGAUAUUAAAACCCAAACUUUAGAACUGAGAAAAAUCUGCCCCCACUUGGUCACUUGACUCUUACAAUUGAACAUUAUAGCUCUUUAGACUUCUCCCACAUAUAUUUAUGAAGUCUACCUAGCUAACUCAAUUCACUUCUUUGUUCUGGGGCUCCCAUCCUCCUUGUGGGGCAAUAACUGUCAUACACUUACUUGGUGCAGGGCUACUGGCAAUAUAUAGGAGUCAGGUAAGAAAAAUACCCAGAUUACAUUUCCAAAUUCAUAACCUAAUUUACAUAAAAUGUUCUAGACUCCUAAGAACUUGGUUGGAUGUGAGAGCUGGACCAUAAAGAAGGCUGAGUGCCAAAGAAUUUUGCUUUUGAACUGUGGUCUUAGAGAAGACUCUUGAGAGUCCCUGGGACUAUGAGGAGAUCAAACCAGUCAAUCCUAAAGGAAAUCAACCCCAAAUAUUCAUUGGAAGGACUGAUCCUGAAGCUGAAGCUCCAAUACUUUGGCCACAUGAUGCAAAGAGCUGACUCAUUGGUAAAGAUCCUGAUGCUGGGAAAGAUUGGGGGCAGGAGGCGAAAGGGAUAACAGGGGAUGAGAUGGUUGGAUGGCAUCACUGAAUCAAUGGAUGUGAGUUUGAACAAACUCCAGGAGAUAGUGAAGGACAGGGAAGCCUGGAGUGCUAGAGUCCAUGGGAUCACAAAGAGCUGGACAUGACUGAGUGACUGAAUGCCAACAACAACUUUGGUAUGUAUUUUAGAAAGCAUUGAGUAUUGGUAACACCAAUAAUUAAAAACUAGUCUUCAAACAAAGUCCUACUGUAUAGCACAGAGAACUAUGUUUAACAUCUUAUGAUAAAUCAUAAUGGAAAAGAAUAUAAAAAAGGAUGUGUAUAAAUAUGUGUGUGUGUGUGUGUGUGUAACUGAAUCACUUUGCUCCAUAGCAGAAAUUAACACAACAUUGUCAAUCAACUAUACUUCAAUAAAAAACAAACAAACU
RNAcentral lists this long non-coding RNA (1557 nucleotides) under Bos indicus x Bos taurus (hybrid cattle). Its description in RNAcentral is "lncRNA (ENSBIXG00000023965.1)". The stretch from base 293 to 364 matches the Rfam family "tRNA". The record is from RNAcentral. Lineage: Eukaryota; Metazoa; Chordata; Mammalia; Artiodactyla; Bovidae.